Molecule: ribosomal RNA, 275 nt
Filed under: uncultured bacterium
Lineage: Bacteria
Description: partial 16S ribosomal RNA
Rfam family: Bacterial small subunit ribosomal RNA
Source: RNAcentral
CUAAGUUUGAUGGCGACCGGCGCACGGGUGAGUAACACGUAUCCAACCUGCCGAUGACUCGGGGAUAGCCUUUCGAAAGAAAGAUUAAUACCCGAUGGCAUAGUUCUUCCGCAUGGUGGAACUAUUAAAGAAUUUCGGUCAUCGAUGGGGAUGCGUUCCAUUAGGUUGUUGGCAGGGUAACGGCCCACCAAGCCUUCGAUGGAUAGGGGUUCUGAGAGGAAGGUCCCCCACAUUGGAACUGAGACACGGUCCAAACUCCUACGGGAGGCAGCAUG